UUCAGGGACAGAUUGAACACAUCACAUCUCAUCUGGUUGUGAAUGUUAAGCAGUUUCAUGCUUGGUGAGUGCUUGGGUGGGAAAUUACCUGGGACAUAUCAGUUCUGUAG
This 110-nucleotide ribosomal RNA is filed under the name Crocodylus porosus (Australian saltwater crocodile). Lineage: Eukaryota; Metazoa; Chordata; Crocodylia; Crocodylidae. The record is from RNAcentral.